GUUUGGCAAUUCUAUAUAUGCAUCGAACUUUUUCAAUUCAUUAUUUUAUGCUUUUACCUAUUGGUAUGCUUAGCGGUGAGAUUGUGAUAUAUAGAUCUUAAAGUAAUGCAAAUGCAUGGGGGUAUUCUUUCUUGUGCAUUACAUUUCUUUUAUAUCUUUAUUACAUGCUUGUGCUUUUGAAACAAAGUUUAAUUUAUGCUUCUUUACAAAAAUUUGUCUAAAUCUUCUUUUUACUAAAGCAAAACAAUUUGCACCAUCAGAUUUAUAAUCCUGUGGUGUUGGGCUAUUAUUCCUAUCUAAUCUUUGUUACCCCUUCAAUGGUUUUAGGUAUCCACUCAUAAAAAUGGUUGAUAUUUUGAGAAAGGGAACAUGUAAAGAGAAAAUAAAAGGGGUGAGAAAAAGAAAAAGAGGCAUGUGUAUGGGCAUUAAAAGCCACGAAUAUGUAAGAUAGGCAAAAAAUUCAGUGUAGGUCAGCCUUGAGAGAAAGCUAUGCUUAAAUGGGGGUAUCAAGAAUAAAGCCAAACAAAGUGUUCUAGUGGAAUGUCAAUGAUCAAAGGGAUCAUAUUCCAUCUAUGCAUUAUGGUUCAUUGCAAGAUCGAUUCAUUAAGAGAACAGAUAACAGAUUAGAGUAUUAAGCAGAGCAGUGUUAUCUGUAGCAGAAGUUCUAAAUCAAGCUGCACUUAUUAUGUACUAGAUUGAGAGAUUGCAUUUCACCUAUGCUGUAUAAGCUUAGUUGAUUAUAUGGUGUCCAACUAUUUGAGUGUAAUGUAAUUAUUAUUUUGUAUUAAUAUUAAUUUGUUAAUUAAAGUGUAGGUCAGCAUUGAGCGAAUGCUCUGCUUUUUAAUUGGGGUAUCCGAAUAAAGUCUAAAGUUGAUUCUCCCCGAAUGUCAAUAAUUAAAUGGAACAUAAGAGAAAACCAAAUUGCUCCCAUGAAAAAGUAGGGGUCGGACAUCAUUUGAAGAUUUGGAAAUAUGCAAAAAUAGCAUUUUGAAAUUGAAGGAUGUUGGAUAAUAUAGUCCUUCUAUUAGUUUGUUUUGUUAAUGAAUGUCAAUGGCUUAUGUGACAAACUCAAAUGUUA
This 1078-nucleotide long non-coding RNA is filed under the name Cicer arietinum (chickpea). Its description in RNAcentral is "long non-coding RNA (CARI_LNC000283)". The record is from RNAcentral. Lineage: Eukaryota; Viridiplantae; Streptophyta; Magnoliopsida; Fabales; Fabaceae.